This 444-nucleotide ribosomal RNA is filed under the name Miyakella nepa. RNAcentral's name for it is "partial 16S ribosomal RNA". It matches the Rfam family "Bacterial large subunit ribosomal RNA", at positions 1923 to 2566 of the family's 2925-position model. Lineage: Eukaryota; Metazoa; Arthropoda; Malacostraca; Stomatopoda; Squillidae. The record is from RNAcentral.
UUAAAGAGCCGCGGUAUUUUGACCGUGCGAAGGUAGCAUAAUAAUUAGUCUCCUAAUUAGAGGCUUGUAUGAAUGGUCGGACAAGAUGGAAUCUGUCUCAACACAAUAAAUAAAAUUUAAUAACUAAGUAAAAAAGCUUAGAUAAAAUGGAGGGACGAUAAGACCCUAUAAAGCUUUAUGGUAUUUUUCUUUCUUAUAAAUUGUAUUGUUAUUAACUUAUUUUAGAAUUUUUAUCAUUUUACUGGGGCGGUAAAAGUAUAAUUAGAUUAACUGCUUUUGUUUUAAAUAACAAUUUUAGUUGGAAAUAAAUUGAUCCAUUAUUAAUGAUCAUAAGAACAAGUUACUUUAGGGAUAACAGCGUAAUUUUUUUUGAGAGUUCUCAUCGAAAAAAAAGUUUGCGACCUCGAUGUUGAAUUAAGGUUACCUUAAGGUGCAGCAGUUUUA